CGCCCCCCCGCAGCCAUGGCGAGCGGCCGCGCCGAGGACGCGGCGGCGGCGGCGGCCGAGGAGGAAGAGGAGGAGGAGGCCGCGGCGGCGGCGGCGGCGCGGCUGGCGGCGGCGCUGCGGCAGCGGCUGCGGGGCUGGGAGGCGGCGCUGGCGGCGGCGCAGCGGCUGCUGGUGUGGGAGAGGCCGCUGCACAGCCUGGUCACCGCCGCCGCGCUCGGCGGGGCCCUCUGGUUGUUUUCCUCCACCUCCCUGAGACCCCUCUUUCUCCUCAGCAUGUCCCUUCUUGGCAUCCUCUUGCUGGAGAGGUGGAAGCCCAGGUUCCUGUUUGAUUUCUCAGCACAGCCGUCGGAGGAGCCGGGAGGGGAGAGUGAGGGGGUGACUUCAGGGGCACAACCUCACCUGCUCAGUGUCCCUGAGCUGUGCCACUGUCUGGCAGAGAGCUGGGUCACCUUCAGGCUGUACCUGCAGGAACUGCUACAGUACAAGAGGCAAAAUCCUGCCAAGUUCUGCAUGAGUGUCUGCUCAGGCUGCCUGAUUCUGGCUGUAGUUGGACACUAUGUUCCAGGCAUAAUGAUCUCCUACAUCAUUUUGCUCAGCAUUCUGCUCUGGCCGCUGGUGGUAUACCACGAGCUGAUCCAGAGGAUGUACACGCGUUUGGAGCCUGUCCUCAUGAAACUGGACUACAGUAUGAAGGCAGAGACACUGCACCACAAGCAUGAGAAGAAGAAGCGACAAGGGAAGAGUGAGCCUGCAGCAGGUGAUGAGCCAACAGCUGAGACGGAGAGCGAGAGUGAGGCAGAGCUGUCCGGCUUCUCCCCAGUGGUGGAUGUGAAGAAGACUGCCCUGGCACUGUCCAUCACAGAUUCUGAGCUCUCGGAUGAGGAGGCUUCCAUCCUAGAAAGCGGAGGCUUUUCUGUCUCAAGGGCUACCACCCCACAGCUGACAGAUGUUUCUGAAGACCUGGAUCAGCAGAGCCUGCACAGUGAGCCGGAGGAGUCGUUUUCCAAAGACCUGUCAGAGUUUCCCUCCGUGGAAGAAUAUCAUUCCAGAGACCUGGGACCACAGAGCGAGGAAGACGCGUUCGGGGUGCCUCUGGGCCCGGAGCUCGCCCACGCUGCCCGCGAGCUGGACUCGGCAGAGAAGGAGGCCGCGGACUCGGGGCUCGCCAUCCUGCGCCUCGCCUCGCCUCUCCACUUUGUAAAUACGCACUUCAACGGGAGCGGGCAAGCGGCCGGGGGCGACACAGAGCCAGGGACUGACCCCGCCACGGGCCUGGGCGCCUGCAUCGACACGCUGAGCGAGGAGAUCGUCACCACCGCCAUCACCACGGCGGUGCAGAACACCCUCUGUGCCCUGCUGCGCUCCUCGGAGGCCAGCGAGGGGCCCUCCCUCUCCGAGUUCCUCCCCACCGAGCCCGAAGAGAAACUGAGCUUCCAAGCGCAGCUGUCAGAGAGCGAAUCGGUGGAGACGGAGGCGGCGGCCUCACCAGAGGACGAGGAGGAAGCGGAUGACUUUGAGCUGCUGGAUCAGGGGGAGCUGGAGCAAAUGGAUGUAGAGCUGGGGCUCGGAGAGGAGCAGGAGACACAGGAGCCUCCCGCCGCUCCUGCUCCCCGCUCUCCCCCGCUUGCUGAGCUGCCAAAGCAAGGAGACGAGGAGGAGGAGGCAGUGAUGACAGCAGCGUCAAUGUCUUAGGUCUCCUCCGUGCACCCCCUUUCCCUCCAUCGCCACUGGAAAGAAGGACAGACUCCCGCGGUGAACGUGCAGUGGGUUGUUAGAUGUUUGUGUUGACUGGGAUGGAAACGCGUCAGUGUCCAUGUGCUGUGUCCGGAGUAACGAAUCCUUUCCACCCUCCUAGAGCCCAGCCUGAGGCUGGGCUGGCUGCGGGAGGCGGCCCUGCCCCGCGGCGGGGGAGGAGCCGGCGCCCGGAAGCUUUAGCCACCAUCCCGACACCGACCCCGGCAAACGCUUCCUAGUAAUGGAGAGGCUGCGAGACCUGAGGCUGUUUUAGCCUGGAAAAGAGAAGACUGUGGAAGGACCUCGUUAACACUUACAAGUAACCUAAACUGUGGAUGUCAGGAAGAUGGGGUGGCACUAUUUUCUGUAGUGCUCAGCAACAGGACAUGGGCUAAUGGACGUAAGCUUGAACA
Molecule: RNA transcript, 2147 nt
Organism: Colius striatus (speckled mousebird)
Lineage: Eukaryota; Metazoa; Chordata; Aves; Coliiformes; Coliidae
Gene: RETREG2
Gene name: reticulophagy regulator family member 2
Exons: 10
Source: RefSeq, a predicted model, not a curated record